RNAcentral lists this ribosomal RNA (253 nucleotides) under uncultured bacterium. RNAcentral's name for it is "partial 16S ribosomal RNA". It matches the Rfam family "Bacterial small subunit ribosomal RNA", at positions 524 to 776 of the family's 1533-position model. The record is from RNAcentral.
UACGUAGGGGGCAAGCGUUGUCCGGAAUCAUUGGGCGUAAAGAGCGUGUAGGCGGCCCGGUAAGUCCGCUGUGAAAGUCCAGGGCUCAACCCUGGGAUGCCGGUGGAUACUGUCGGGCUCGAGUCCGGAAGAGGCGAGUGGAAUUCCUGGUGUAGCGGUGAAAUGCGCAGAUAUCAGGAGGAACACCAAUAGCGAAGGCAGCUCGCUGGGACGGUACUGACGCUGAGGCGCGAAAGCGUGGGGAGCGAACAGG